Molecule: ribosomal RNA, 231 nt
Filed under: uncultured bacterium
Lineage: Bacteria
Description: partial 16S ribosomal RNA
Rfam family: Bacterial small subunit ribosomal RNA
Source: RNAcentral
CGGACGGGUGAGUAAUGUCUGGGAAACUGCCUGAUGGAGGGGGAUAACUACUGGAAACGGUAGCUAAUACCGCAUAACGUCGCAAGACCAAAGAGGGGGACCUUCGGGCCUCUUGCCAUCGGAUGUGCCCAGAUGGGAUUAGCUAGUAGGUGGGGUAAAGGCUCACCUAGGCGACGAUCCCUAGCUGGUCUGAGAGGAUGACCAGCCACACUGGAACUGAGACACGGCCAG